UGUGAACUCGAAGAGUAGGGCGGGACACGUGGUAUCCUGUCUGAAUAUGGGGGGACCAUCCUCCAAGGCUAAAUACUCCUGACUGACCGAUAGUGAACCAGUACCGUGAGGGAAAGGCGAAAAGAACCCCGGCGAGGGGAGUGAAAAAGAACCUGAAACCGUGUACGUACAAGCAGUGGGAGCACCUUCGGGUGUGACUGCGUACCUUUUGUAUAAUGGGUCAGCGACUUAUAUUCUGUAGCAAGGUUAACCGUAUAGGGGAGCCGCAGGGAAACCGAGUCUUAACUGGGCGUUAAGUUGCAGGGUAUAGACCCGAAACCCGGUGAUCUAGCCAUGGGCAGGUUGAAGGUUGGGUAACACUAACUGGAGGACCGAACCGACUAAUGUUGAAAAAUUAGCGGAUGACUUGUGGCUGGGGGUGAAAGGCCAAUCAAACCGGGAGAUAGCUGGUUCUCCCCGAAAGCUAUUUAGGUAGCGCCUCGUGAACUCAUCUUCGGGGGUAGAGCACUGUUUCGGCUAGGGGGUCAUCCCGACUUACCAACCCGAUGCAAACUACGAAUACCGAAGAAUGUUAUCACGGGAGACACACGGCGGGUGCUAACGUCCGUCGUGAAGAGGGAAACAACCCAGACCGCCAGCUAAGGUCCCAAAGUCAUGGUUAAGUGGGAAACGAUGUGGGAAGGCACAGACAGCCAGGAUGUUGGCUUAGAAGCAGCCAUCAUUUAAAGAAAGCGUAAUAGCUCACUGGUCGAGUCGGCCUGCGCGGAAGAUGUAACGGGGCUAAACCAUGCACCGAAGCUGCGGCAGCGACACUAUGUGUUGUUGGGUAGGGGAGCGUUCUGUAAGCCUGCGAAGGUGUGCUGUGAGGCAUGCUGGAGGUAUCAGAAGUGCGAAUGCUGACAUAAGUAACGAUAAAGCGGGUGAAAAGCCCGCUCGCCGGAAGACCAAGGGUUCCUGUCCAACGUUAAUCGGGGCAGGGUGAGUCGACCCCUAAGGCGAGGCCGAAAGGCGUAGUCGAUGGGAAACAGGUUAAUAUUCCUGUACUUGGUGUUACUGCGAAGGGGGGACGGAGAAGGCUAUGUUAGCCGGGCGACGGUUGUCCCGGUUUAAGCAUGUAGGCUGGUUAUCCAGGCAAAUCCGGAUAAUCAAGGCUGAGGUGUGAUGACGAGGCACUACGGUGCUGAAGUAACAAAUGCCCUGCUUCCAGGAAAAGCCUCUAAGCAU
RNAcentral lists this ribosomal RNA (1224 nucleotides) under Klebsiella pneumoniae. RNAcentral's name for it is "partial 23S ribosomal RNA". It matches the Rfam family "Bacterial large subunit ribosomal RNA", at positions 398 to 1629 of the family's 2925-position model. The record is from RNAcentral. Lineage: Bacteria; Pseudomonadati; Pseudomonadota; Gammaproteobacteria; Enterobacterales; Enterobacteriaceae.